This 226-nucleotide ribosomal RNA is filed under the name uncultured bacterium. Its description in RNAcentral is "partial 16S ribosomal RNA". It matches the Rfam family "Bacterial small subunit ribosomal RNA", at positions 524 to 748 of the family's 1533-position model. The record is from RNAcentral.
UACGUAGGGUGCAAGCGUUAAUCGGAAUUACUGGGCGUAAAGCGUGCGCAGGCGGCUUUGCAAGACAGAUGUGAAAUCCCCGGGCUCAACCUGGGAACUGCAUUUGUGACUGCAUCGCUAGAGUACGGCAGAGGGGGGAUGGAAUUCCGCGUGUAGCAGUGAAAUGCGUAGAUAUGCGGAGGAACACCGAUGGCGAAGGCAAUCCCCUGGGCCUGUACUGACGUCA